Stegodyphus mimosarum is the source of this 71-nucleotide non-coding RNA. The record is from Rfam. Lineage: Eukaryota; Metazoa; Arthropoda; Arachnida; Araneae; Eresidae.
GCAUUGGUGGUUCAGUGGUAGAAUGCUCGCCUGCUACGAGGGCGGCUCGGGUUUGAUUCCCGGUCCAUGCA